UACGGAGGGUGCGAGCGUUAAUUGGAAUGACUGGGCGUAAAGGGCUCGUAGGCGGCCUGUCGCGUCGGAAGUGAAAGCCCACUGCUUAACGGUGGGUCUGCUUCCGGUACGGGCAGGCUGGAGUAUGGCAGGGGAGACUGGAAUUCCUGGUGUAGCGGUGGAAUGCGCAGAUAUCAGGAGGAACACCGGUGGCGAAGGCGGGUCUCUGGGCCAUUACUGACGCUGAGGAGCGAAAGCGUGGGGAGCGAACAGGAUUAGAUACCCGAGUAGUCC
RNAcentral lists this ribosomal RNA (273 nucleotides) under uncultured Actinospica sp. RNAcentral describes it as "partial 16S ribosomal RNA". It matches the Rfam family "Bacterial small subunit ribosomal RNA", at positions 524 to 796 of the family's 1533-position model. Lineage: Bacteria; Bacillati; Actinomycetota; Actinomycetes; Catenulisporales; Actinospicaceae. The record is from RNAcentral.